RNAcentral lists this unclassified non-coding RNA (4501 nucleotides) under Hevea brasiliensis (rubber tree). Lineage: Eukaryota; Viridiplantae; Streptophyta; Magnoliopsida; Malpighiales; Euphorbiaceae. The record is from RNAcentral.
CCAAGAUGUGCCAAAACAAGCAUUGAAGACUAUGAAUUUCAGGAGAUUCUCAUCUGAGCUGCUUAGGGCAUCAUCUGAACUGACAGAAACAGUAUAAUCUUGAUAAGAAUCUAUUAUUGGUCCAUCGUUUCUCACAAUAAUUCUGCCAUGCUUCCUCAAAAUUCUUUCAAGAUGAAACAUAGUGCUUUUCCAGCAAUUCUUGUCUAUCCCCAACCACUUUAAUGUGCAGCCACUGCUUUCAAAAGCCCUCAUUGGAAGUUCUUCAUGCAGCCUCAUUAGAGUUGCUGCUCUUUCAGCAUUGGCCCAGCAACAACAUGUGGAUGAUCCAUCAUCCAACACAAAACCUACAAGAGGAAUGUCAACGAAGUGUUCAGCCUGGACUUCAGAACGUAAGCCAUAAUAUUUUAUAUUCUUCUCCAGAACCAAGACAUGGACAGCAACAACCCUGCAAUUAAACCGCAUUGGCUUGCAAUCUGAGCACUGAAUCAAUUCAGAAAUCAUACCAGAAGAAACAUUGUCCAAAGAGGAAGCAGAUGGCAUACACAAAGUAGAGCAGAAUUUAAAACAUUUAUCAUUGUAUUGUUCAUUUGCAACCCUUAUGGAGUUCAAAACGAUAAAUGAUGCAGGUGUCAGCUGCAAUUUAUUUGUCACCCUCAAUUUAAGAAUUCGAUGAAAUGUUGCAUUUACACCAGGUCCAAAUCCAACAGGAUAUGCAUGUUUGCUAAGAGAACCAAAAAUGCUUACCAUUUGAUUAUCCACCAAAACAUGGAUGCAAGAAAUGUUUGUGCUUUCACGAAAAAAUUUCAUGUGAAGACCAUCAUCUAAUCUUUCACAGCUUAAAUGGGCAUUGGCAGAAUUGCAGUCAAAACCAUGAAUGUCUACCACAUCUCCACACACAGAUGUUAAAUUUCCCUCAGGAAAAAGGCAAGUAAAAUCAAGGGAUCCAGAAAAGAAACCAGUUGAAGAUAUCGUGGACAAAAUAUCAGAAGAAUCACUUAAAGUCUCUUCUGGGGUCAUAAUUGGCUCAGUGUGGGCUUCUUUAUUUUCAUUAAGCUUUACUUCCAAAAAAGCCUUUGCAUUUGCAGAGAGAUGAAGACAAACAUCCGAAGACAAUUCUGGAACAUUACCAGUGGACCUCAAGUGUAGUUCAACUUGAUCUCUUAUAGGAAAUUCUCUACAACUGAUAGAAGAAUCAUUUUGAGGAGGAAGAUUUGAAGAUUUAUUAUUUGUUACUACAUCAUCAGAAGAGAAAGAAAGGCUCCACAUGUGUGUUCUGGAAGAGAUAAUAACUUUAACACCGCUAACAUUAUCAUAGUCCUUAAUGCUACAAAAGGAUUCUUCUGGAUGGUGCUUUAUGAUGUAACAACUGCCAAUCUGCAACGCCUGAGACUUGAACAAAUUUUCAGAGUUGAAUUCUAGCAACACCUUCUCUGCACUCAGUUUACAGUCAGCAACAAUCUUUACCUUGGAUUUUGUGAAGCACAGUUUUCCUGAAGCACCUAAGUUUUGCCUAUUAGCAGUUCUGACAGUGGCCAGGCAUGGAAUUUCAAGAGAACUCAAGUUUCCACAUUCCCCCUCAUUGGAUCCCUUUAAAGCCUGGCUUGAUGCCUGAUCAAUUUUCCGCUUCUUAUUGGACAGAUGCUCCUGGUAAUUUUCAUUGGGAUAAUGUGCCAACAAUUCAUUAAGCCAAUCCCCUGAAAUCUUAAAUGGAAGCAUAGCUCCAUCUUUCACUCCAAGAAACAGAUCCCAAGGCAAGAUAAUGGCCUCAGCAAACAUAGUACAACAGUCUGUUAUCACCGGAUCACCUUUAAACUUUUGUAGCACAGGAUAUUUGUGUGUUACACAUAUCAGAUGAAAUCUUCCACCUUGAAGUUCCAUAAAUUCAUUAUUCCAGUCCACACAAGGAUAAAACGGAAGAUUUCUGCAAGUUGCAUUGCUUAAGUGAAAACUGAUAUAAAUGGUUAAUUUCAUCUCUCUUGCCCAAGGGGUGUGAUAAAAGAUAUGCCUGCAUGAGAGUGACUCACUGUCAGGCAAUCCUGUAUGAUCCACAAGGUCAGGUGUGCCUUCCACAAUUAGAUUAUAGUCAACAACCUCAUAGAUGCAAUUGGACUUCCAAGUGGAUGGAAAGUUGGGUAUUAUAACAUCAAUGCUUCCUGUUGCAUCAACUAACUGCAACCUUCCAGAAUAUGGAGAAAUCUUUAGACUUCCAAGCAAAGAAACUCCUAUAUCUUCACUUUGAAACAUCCUCCUCAACGUUCGACUAUGAGAUCUUCCUUCACACGACACAAGAUCAAAUUGAGAUUCGUCACGCAAGAUGUAAAAGUUGCUCUCCAUCUGCAAGAGUGCUUUCAUCCACAUGACCUCACAAUGAUGGAGAAAGGUAGAGAUAGGUGCCACCAAUUUCAGGUCAGCACAAUAUGCUUCACUAUCACAACCACAUGAGUUAUGCUUGCAUAGUUCUGUAAGUAUUCCAUGCAAUUUACCCGAGCAUGAAUCACUGAAGGGGGUAAAUGUGAAUUAGAAAACAUCUGAGCCAGUCCUUCCUUCUGGUUACACAUGUUUUGAUCCCAAGAUCUCUUUUUCUGAUAAAAUCCCAGCAAACUUCUUGCGAAAACUUGAAAUGAUAAGUAGUGCCCUGAAAAUCCAACCGUCAUUUCAAGCAAAUGAAUUGAGAAUGUUAUAUGUUUGAAUCAUCCUGUGAAACCAUUAAAUUUCCUAGAAGUAUGUUCAAAAUUCCAUACCAUAUUCUGGCAGAAAAAGUCAAGGAAUUAAUAAACUUCCCCAACUGACUUUGAGAUUGAAAAACUAUAUUAGACCUGCAGUACAGAAUUUGAUCGCUAUUAUACAUGCCAUGCAUGUUUAGAUGUCCACCAAAAAUUGAAUAGGUUCCAAACAUUUUUGCAUAAGCAGCAAAGGGACAAAAUCAUUACUUCAAACAAGGCCAUCAGAAAAUAUAAAGGCCACCAACCAAAAUUAGCACAGUACUAGUGUCAGGCCAUUUGCUGGAAUAAUCACUCAAUUUCUAGAGGAAAUCAACAAACCCAUGAUAAUUUUGGCAAGGAUGCAAGAGGCAUAAAAUAAUAAAAAUAUCUUUAGCCCAUACCCCGUUUCCAAUGGUGAGAAUGACUCUACAGUAAUGCUAGUCUUUAAGCAAGUCCCAAGUAUAAGCAUUUGCGUCCAAGUGAAUUUUGGAUUAACAAAAUGCACAUUUCUCAAAGAAAUCUACAUCAAAAGCAAAUAAUGAGAAAAAAAAAUGUGUUGCAGACUCAUCACCUGGCAUGUUGAGCAUAAAAUUGUAAGCAUCAAAGCUUUUUUUUUUCUUCCGACUAACAUGGUAGACAAAUUAAUUUUACUUACAAUGGCGCCCACCCUUAAACUAUGUGGUGCAGCAAGUAGCUGAUCAGUUAGUACAAGCCAUACUUCUUUGUCCAGCUCAAUGACCAUUCCUUGCAUGUAUACACCCUUGACAACACCAGUAUAAGCACCGCAUUCUCCUUUUCCCACAAUAACAUUUCCCAAAAAUGGUGACCAUUUCUUGGAUAACCUAGGCAAAUGCAAAACAGAAUUUUCUGUAGUUACAAACAUCAAUUGAGACUUGUCUUUCCCUAUAAAAACCAACUUCUUUUUCAGCCCCGAUAGCCUGACAUCAUUCCCUACAAGCUUGGCAAUCACAGGAUGCCAGCUCCAAGAAGAACCAAAGAAAUAUAUAAACAAAGGUUUUGUAAAAGAAUGAGGAUGCUGUCCUUGAGCUAAAUUAUGUAAAACUGUAACAGACUCCUUAAAAUUACACAAUUUACACUCACAAACCAUAAUUCGUACAAUAAACCCGCGAAGAUUGUUUGUCUUGCUAUCACCACUUAAACAUGGUACAAGUGAAACAGGACUUGUUGAUUCAAUUGGGCCGUGAACGCUAAAACGAGCUUUGGCAUCGUCUGCGAUAGUGGGAGGAGGAGGAGAAGAACCUGAAACUAUAGGAAAUGAAUCCAUACUGGAACAGCGGGAAAAGGUACUACUACUUGAAUCUGGAAAACUCCAUUUGAUAAUCUCUAAAAACCCACCACCAGAAUGUUUUAGGGGAAUGAAAUUCCAAGCGAGGACCUGAAUCUUCUUUCCAAUUACACGGACACUAAAAUCGAGAAUAUCGCAGCAAAUGGUAGAUGAACCGUCCGAGAACUGAAAGCAAUUCUUAUUCGGGCAUUUUAGGGUUUCAGUAGGAAGAAGUAGGGUUCCCACGAGCAUAGCCGGCUGACUCAAAGGAGCGAGUAUUUUAAGGUUAGGGUUUGAGUUAGUAGUGAGACCAGGAGGUGGUUGUUGGGAUUGGGAAUUUUUAUCCAUGGAUUUUGAUUUGGAGGACGGAGGACGUACAGAAACGCUGGGAGAGGAAUUGAGAGAGGAUGUGGCCGUCAAUGGCCGACCACGACGGAGCAGCUCUGAGAUUGUGAGUAGCUCCACAGCUUCUUCCAUUUUGCUAGAAUUUUCAAGCGAAAUUAGAUUGGGAUGU